AUUGAACGCUGGCGGCAGGCCUAACACAUGCAAGUCGAACGAGUGGCGGACGGGUGAGUAAUGUCUGGGACACUGCGUGAUGGAGGGGGAUAACUACUAGAAGCGGUAGCUAAUACCGCAUAACAGCAUAAGUGCCGAGAUGGGAUUAGCGAGUGGGUGGGGUAACGGCGCACCAGGGCGACGAUCCCUAGCUGGUCUGAGAGGAUGACCAGCCACACUGGAACUGAGACACGGUCCAGACUCCUACGGGAGGCAGCAGUGGGGAAUAUUGCACAAUGGGCGCAAGCCUGAUGCAGCCAUGCCGCGUGUAUGAAGAAGGCCUUCGGGUUGUAAAGUACUUUCAGCGGGGAGGCGUUACCCGCAGAAGAAGCACCGGCUAACUCCGUGCCAGCAGCCGCGGUAAUAC
RNAcentral lists this ribosomal RNA (406 nucleotides) under uncultured bacterium. RNAcentral describes it as "partial 16S ribosomal RNA". It matches the Rfam family "Bacterial small subunit ribosomal RNA", at positions 29 to 526 of the family's 1533-position model. The record is from RNAcentral.